Molecule: non-coding RNA, 1882 nt
Organism: Polypterus senegalus (gray bichir)
Lineage: Eukaryota; Metazoa; Chordata; Cladistia; Polypteriformes; Polypteridae
Source: the annotation of a RefSeq genome assembly
AUGCAUCAGAGAAUUCUUGUCUUGACCCUCCUUACUUCUUUAGGACAUGGCAUUGAAGACCGUGUUUGGCAGUCUGAAAGUACAGUUCAGGUUCUUCAAAAACAAGAGGCUGAAAUCAAGUGCAACUUUGAAGCAAGAGAUACUGCUAACGCUUACCUCUUCUGGUAUAUUCAGACUCCAAACGGCGCUCCUCGGCAUUUAAUGACAAGGACACCUACUUACAGCGUCAAUGAAGAAGGUUUUAAAGAAAGAUUUAAUGCAACACUCAACCGGGAGAACAAAACAGUCCACCUGAAAAUUUCAUCUUCUAAGCUGUCCGACUCUGCAAAUUAUUUCUGCGCAUUGCAGCCCACAGUAAGAGAAAGGAAGCGGAGAACAUUACACAAACUGAUGUGACAGAAAAACUUAAAAAAACUUAGAAAUAACAACUUUGUAAGUCCAAAUUUUAACCCGACAUUUAAAACACUUUUGUGCACAAAUUAUAUUGAUGUUUCAUUGUACUGAAGUAUUGAGCUUUAUUUACAAACAAGAAUGCUAUUGAACUUCAUUUACAAAUAAGAAUUGCUUUGCUGGAAAAAUGUUGAAAAAGGAUAUUCAAUUUUAAAAAUAUUUUAUUGUUAUAAAAUAGCUCACAGAUGAAUUGUUAAAAUAUUACUAUUACAAUGGGAAGGGUAAUUGUUGGAAAGCCCUGUUCUUUGGGUGGGAUGACUCCAGGCACACUAGACCUUUGCAAAAGUAGGUUUUUUGGACUUGUAAAAAAACUUGUCUGACAGGAAGAGACCCAAAACUUGCAGAGUGUCAAGUUUGUGAAUUUGUCCCCUUGGCUUCAGUAGGCCAAGAUGUUCAACAUACACUAGAAUGGUUUGCAACUGAAUGUGAUGUGGGAUGGAAAUUUGUGCCUCCAAACUUGAAAAUUUUCCAGAAAAAUGUGGCCUGCAGUUUUUUGCAAGUUAAUGAAUAAGUAAUAUUUUUUGAAGAAAAGAAAAAUGGUAGUCCUAAAACCUACUGCAUAUGUCCACUUUUAAGCAGCACGGGUUUCUGGUUUCAGAAGUCAUGCCUUCUGCAUUUCAGAAGUAAAUGAUGAUCUAAUGAUGGAAAAACAUUGAUGGACGUAAUGCAUUUAUAUCACUAAUUCUUAGAACUAUUUUUUCAGAGGGAUGGCAGGUGUUCUCUAUUUACAGAGACUGACAUAGCUGAGGUUUUCCAUGUAAACUACGGUUGAAUAAUGGAUACUCAGAGUAGAAUAUUAUGCAGUAUAAAUGUGUUUAAGAAUAACAUUGUUUUUCAACUAAAAUUGUUCAAAGGAUUGAAUAUGAAGGAUGUCUAUAGUUUACAUUGUCUGCCUUACAGUGAUCAUGGUAUUUUAAGAGCUAUGGCUUGCAGCAUUUAGGUUACAUUUAAGUGGCACAUCUUUGUGGUUUGAGAGAAAAGCCAGAGAUUGAGGGAAGUCCUCAAAUAAAUAUAUGAAGAUUUCACAUAGUCACUUUGAUCUUUAAGGCAUCAGUGGUAAGAUGAAACUGUAACUAACAAGAUGAAUAAACAAACUUACUCCAAUGAAACAUGUACUUAACUGCUUUCUCCUAUUUUCAGUGUUCAGCACCAAAGUAAGGGUCAUCCCAGAUACUGUUUUAGUUUUCCAGUGACAGUAGCAUUCUGCUCUCUGCAGCAAAGAUGUUAAUUCUUAGUAAGAAUUGUUUAUAUUUUUUAUAUGUGGGACACUAAUUACCAUUUGUUUUGAUCUGAUCUUAACUUUUCACUGUAAAUAUUCUUCUUUCUUUCUAAUUCUGCCAUUGUCAUUUUUUUCUAUUGCUCUUAAUCUGUUGCAGCUCUCUACUAGCAUAUUAUCUCUAAUGCAGAUAUAGGAAAUAAAAUAAACAUUUAA